GCUAUUAUGGAACAGAAACAUUACCUAAAACAUCCAUGCAGAGAAAAUGACAACUAAUAUUUGGCUAUGUGUUCUGUCUUCUUUCCAGAAGUUCUACACGCAGCAAGAAUUAAACCUCAGUGAGCUGGCAGAACCUCUCCCUGAAAACGCAGGUGGCAGAGGAGUAAUGAACAUCAACAACUUGUGUUUCUCCAGAUUGUAAAGCUGAAGGAUUACUUACAUGUACAUUGGUAUGAAAAUAGCUUGGUUUACAAUAGUGAAGUAAAGGAAAGCAAAAUAUGGCUUGGAAGAUAAGGAUAGUCUCUUUAAUAAAUGGUGUUGAGAAAACUGGAUAUCCACAUACAAAAUAAUUAAACGAGACUCUUAUCUUACACUAUACACAAAAAUCAACAUUAUAAGGAUUAAAGACCUAAAUGUAGACCUGAAACCAUAAAACUCUCAGAAUAAAACUCCUUGGCUAGAAAGCUCCUUGAUAUUGGCGUUGGCAAUGAUUUUUUUUGACUGACACACCACACCAAAAGCUCAGGCAACAAAAGCAAAAGUAAGCAAGUAGGAUAAAGUUAAACUAAAUAUGUCUGCACAACAAAGAAAACAAUCCAAAAAAGGCAGCAUAAGGAUUGAUGGAAAACAUUUCUGAAUCAAAUAUCUCAUUAACCAAGGGACUAAAUACAAAAAUAUAUAAGGAACUCGCACAACUCAAUAGCAAAAAGCAAAAACAAACAAACAUUCGAAAAUGGGCAAAGAUCUGAAUAGACGUAUUUCCAAAGAUGUCAUACAAAUGACCAACAGGUAUGUUUAAAAAAUGCUCAACUCUAUCAAUCAUCAGAAAAAUACAAAUCAUAACCACCAUGAAAUAUCACAUCACAUCUAUUAGAAUGGCUGUUAUAAAAAGACAAGAAGUAAGAUGUAGUGAGCAAGGGCGUUGAGAAAAGGGACUCCUUAUAUGCUGUGGACAGAAAUGUAAAUUAUGUUAUUAUGAAAAACUGUAUGGAAGUGCCUCACACAAUCGAAAAUAGAACUACCAUACGACCCAGAAACCCCUCUGCUGGCUAUGUACCCGAAGGAAAUGAAACCAGCAUUCUGUAGAGAUCGCUACAGUCCCAUGUUCAUUCUAACAUCAUUCACAACAGCCAAGGUACAGAACUAACCUGCAUGUUCAUUGAUGAAUGAGGACAUAAAUUGUGGUACACAUAUAUAAUGAAACAUUAUUCAGCUGUACAAAAGAAAAAAAUACUGCCAUUGGUGACAACACAGCUGAAAUUGAUAGACAUUAUGCUAAGUGAAAGAGGCCAAAUACUGCAUGAUCUCAGAAAGACAAAUAUGGCAUGAUCUCAUUCAUAUUUGGAGUCUAAAAAUAAGCUGAAUACAUAGAAACAGAAAAUAAAAUAGAUAGAGCAGUGGUAUAACCAGAAGCAGGGAGGAGAAGGAAAUGAGGAGAAGUAGGUCAAAAUGUGUAAGUUUGCAGUUAUAUAGAAUGAGUAAACUGAGGGACCUAAUGUACUGCAUGAGGACUGUAACUUAAUAAUAUUGUGAAGCAUAAUGAAAAUUUGCUGAGUGUAGACCUUGAGUCCCAUUUCCUCAAAAGAGAAAGUAAUGUUAACUAUGGAAGGUGAGGAAUUUGCUGCUAAUUUGCUUGACUAAUUAUUUCACUAUGUAUAUGUAUACCAAAACCUUAUUCUAUAUAC
RNAcentral lists this long non-coding RNA (1685 nucleotides) under Macaca mulatta (Rhesus monkey). RNAcentral's name for it is "lncRNA (ENSMMUG00000043252.2)". Lineage: Eukaryota; Metazoa; Chordata; Mammalia; Primates; Cercopithecidae. The record is from RNAcentral.